This 69-nucleotide transfer RNA is filed under the name Sphaerodactylus townsendi. Its description in RNAcentral is "tRNA-Ala". The stretch from base 5 to 61 matches the Rfam family "tRNA", at positions 8 to 63 of the family's 71-position model. Rfam says of the family: Transfer RNA (tRNA) molecules are approximately 80 nucleotides in length. Their secondary structure includes four short double-helical elements and three loops (D, anti-codon, and T loops). Lineage: Eukaryota; Metazoa; Chordata; Lepidosauria; Squamata; Sphaerodactylidae. The record is from RNAcentral.
GCCAUGGCUCAGUGGAAGAGCAUCUGUUUUGCAUGCAGAAGGUCCCAAGUUUUAUCCCUGGCAUCACCA